Molecule: ribosomal RNA, 465 nt
Filed under: uncultured bacterium
Lineage: Bacteria
Description: partial 16S ribosomal RNA
Rfam family: Bacterial small subunit ribosomal RNA
Source: RNAcentral
GACGAACGCUGGCGGCGUGCUUAACACAUGCAAGUCGAACGGAAAGGCCCCAGCUUGCUGGGGUACUCGAGUGGCGAACGGGUGAGUAACACGUGGGUGAUCUGCCCUGCACUCUGGGAUAAGCCUGGGAAACUGGGUCUAAUACCGGAUAGGACCGUGCUUUAGUGUGUGCGGUGGAAAGUUUUUCGGUGCAGGAUGAGCCCGCGGCCUAUCAGCUUGUUGGUGGGGUAAUGGCCUACCAAGGCGGCGACGGGUAGCCGGCCUGAGAGGGUGUACGGCCACAUUGGGCCUGAGGCACGGCCCAGACUCCUACGGGAGGCAGCGGUGGGGAAUAUUGCGCGAUGGGCGGAAGCCUGAUGCAGCGACGCCGCGUGGGGGAUGACGGCCUUCGGGUUGUAAACCCCUUUCGGCAGGGACGAAGCUUUUGUGACGGUACCUGAAUAAGAAGCACCGGCUAACUACGUG